GGUUAAGCGACUAAGCGUACACGGUGGAUGCCCUGGCAGUCAGAGGCGAUGAAGGACGUGCUAAUCUGCGAAAAGCGCCGGCGAGGUGAUAUGAACCUUUGACCCGGCGAUGUCCGAAUGGGGAAACCCAGUGCAAUCCGUUGCACUAUCGUUAACUGAAUACAUAGGUUAACGAGGCGAACCGGGGGAACUGAAACAUCUAAGUACCCCGAGGAAAAGAAAUCAACCGAGAUUCCCCCAGUAGCGGCGAGCGAACGGGGAGCAGCCCGGAGUCUGAAUCAGCUUGUGUGUUAGUGGAACGGUCUGGAAAGUCCGACGGUACAGGGUGAUAGUCCCGUACACGAAAGCACACUUGCUGUGAACUCGAAGAGUAGGGCGGGACACGUGGUAUCCUGUCUGAAUAUGGGGGGACCAUCCUCCAAGGCUAAAUACUCCUGACUGACCGAUAGUGAACCAGUACCGUGAGGGAAAGGCGAAAAGAACCCCGGCGAGGGGAGUGAAAAAGAACCUGAAACCGUGUACGUACAAGCAGUGGGAGCCUCUUUAUGGGGUGACUGCGUACCUUUUGUAUAAUGGGUCAGCGACUUAUAUUCUGUAGCAAGGUUAACCGUAUAGGGGAGCCGAAGGG
This 628-nucleotide ribosomal RNA is filed under the name Enterobacter hormaechei. RNAcentral describes it as "partial 23S ribosomal RNA". It matches the Rfam family "Bacterial large subunit ribosomal RNA", at positions 1 to 673 of the family's 2925-position model. The record is from RNAcentral. Lineage: Bacteria; Pseudomonadati; Pseudomonadota; Gammaproteobacteria; Enterobacterales; Enterobacteriaceae.